AGAAAGAUGCUGCUGACUUUUAUUAACAUAUUUUAAAGCCACGAGGAAUCACACAGCUCUUUAGAGAACUUUUUGUUAAAUCAAGUAGCCUGAGGAGAGAGGGAGAGACAGAUAAACACAGACCAAAAGAGACAGAGAGAAGGAAAAUCAAAGUUUAAAGCCAUACUGUGUGAACUGAAAAGCUUUUUUCUUUCAUUCAAGAGCUUUACCCACCCAGCUCACCCCUUCCAGGAAGUAGGUCAAGACUUGCUGCUCUGACAUACCAUGGUCAAGUUGAACUGAAUCCUAAUUGUCAAGGAAUAAUUCAGCAUUCUUCACUGGCUCCAGAUGAAAACUUUGUCACAGAAGGAAAGACCCCGGGGAAUAAAGAAAGUCAUUUAAGUCCUUUUGCUCUUCCAAGAAAUUCUUGCAUGUAUUGAUGGAAGGCAGCUGUGGUCUGUGACAUGUAGGGCAGGAACUAAGUAGCCAUUCAUGCAGCUGCAGCACUUGGUAUUUAAAAAUUUAAAUUUCAGUACUCUGGGCUCUACUCCUGACUCUGGACUUUCUCAACUAUGCUACAUCAGCCUCCUCACUUUGGAAGAUCACUUUCCUCUGGGCCUUCUCACACUGGAAACGAAGUCAACACUGCACCAUAUUCCUCUGAUUGGCCAGUUCCUCCCAGAACUUCCAUUUUAAGAGGCUAGAAAUAUUUUCAUUUCUCUCUGGGCUCCACUCUUAACUCUCUGUUCUGUCUACGCCAUGGCCUUAUUUUGAUUACCUUCUUCCUUCCAUUCCUUUUCAGCUUCCUUUUAUAUAAUGUCUUCGCCCAUUAGAAUGUGAGCUUUUGGAGGGCAGAAAUUGUUUUUCUUUCUGCUUAUAUUUGCAACCCCAGAAUUUAGCCUAGUACCUAACACAUAGCAAGGGCUUAAUAAAUGCUUAUUGACUUAACUUGACUUUAAAUAAAAAUUUAAGUAAAAGUCUAU
Molecule: long non-coding RNA, 962 nt
Organism: Phascolarctos cinereus (koala)
Lineage: Eukaryota; Metazoa; Chordata; Mammalia; Diprotodontia; Phascolarctidae
Source: RefSeq, a predicted model, not a curated record